Oncorhynchus tshawytscha (Chinook salmon) is the source of this 1922-nucleotide long non-coding RNA. RefSeq lists it as uncharacterized. NCBI's taxonomy places the organism in Eukaryota, Metazoa, Chordata, Actinopteri, Salmoniformes, Salmonidae. The record is from RefSeq and is a predicted model, not a curated record. The transcript has 2 exons.
UAGACUAUCAUUUUACAGAUGUAUGUUGAAAACGUUUUUGGGAGAUGCGAUGGAUCAUUGGGGAUCAUUCAAUAUUCCCUUUCUUUUGUUGUUCAGUGAAAUCAUCCCAUGUGAAGAAUCAAGUCAAGUUUAAUUCGUAAUUAUUUAAUCUUUUCUAUUGGAAGGGUUUAAUCAUUUGCAAUUAUUUCUAUUUAUGAUAAGGUUAAAGGUUUGUGUUUCUGUCUCCAUAUGAUAUGGUAAAUAUAUCCAAUGCAAAAAACAUCUACAUUUAAAUGGUAUUUAAUAUUAAUUCCCAUAUAUUCCCAUUAAUUCCCAUAUAUUCCCGUUAAUUCCCACGAAAGGUUUCCACCUCUGAAUAUUCCCCAAAAUGUGCAACUCUAAUGACAAGCAAAUAAUGAUAGACACACAAUACAAAUACAUGAUUAUGUAUUCCUUAUUUAUAACCUAUUUAUAACCUAUUACAAAAACAAAGAAAAAUAACGUUCCUCAUUGAGGCAUGCUGGGGCAAUAGUGGCCAAGCAAUCUAUCCAAUAUGUCUCUCUUUGGAGAAGUCAUAUAUCCCUAUCUCUUACCCUAAGUGGCGCCUUCACAAGGCAAGUAUGCGUGUUUGUGUGUGUGUUUUGUGUGCAGGUGUAUGCUCUCACACAGCAUAUUUUUGUGAAACGUGUAUGCAAGUGAACUCUACCCAUCCUUUUCUGACCAUCUCCCUGUUCUCUCAGAACAUCUCCCUCUCCGUCAGUGAUUCUGUGGUGGGGUGUAGUUACAGACACAGGUGUACUGGACUGAACAGCUACCAGGUACAGGUAUCUGGCUCAGAUUGGAUGGACUGCCCAAUUGGAGGCGCCAUUGAGGUGACAGGAUACAAGGGUUUAGUGUCCUGACAAGAGGUUGUGUCAUUACCCUGACAUUGAUCCCGCCAUCAACAACCUGGCAUCUCACUCUCCAGCUGCUUCCACGACAGGCCCAGUGACAUCUGAGAGUUUUUCUCAAUAGAAACUUAAUUAAAAUUGUAAUGACUACAUUGUAAAUGGAUAAGUCUUUUAGAAGCCUGCCUACCUUAAGCUUGAGACACAUUUUAUCCAGUUUCCAUGUAAUACUGCAUUCCAUUCCAUACAUACAGUAACAUGCCAUUUGAUUUGCGCCCUGAUCUGAAAUACCGGUUUUGACAUGACAAUGAACACAACAGGAGAGUUGGCUAAACACACAAACAGAUCUAGUAGCAGGCUAGCCUACCACUGUUCUGUAAUGCCCAAUUGGUAAGUGUAAAGUAUAAAGAGGCCCACAUACCAGGUCUCUUAUAAAAAGAGGUCUUCUGACCUCAAUGGGAAUUUAACUGGAUUAAUAAAGGUUAAAUCCUUGAAAAAAACAUAAAUUAUACAUAAUUCUGAUCCAUUGGGAAUAUAAUUGACACUCUUAUCAUUUCUCUCCCUCUGUGAUUUACUUUUUAAAAAUUUUAUUUUUUUAUUCUUUAUUUAACUAUGCAAGUCAGUUAAGAACAAAUUCUUGUUUACAAUAACGGCCUUUCCCCAGACAAACCCGGACGACGCUGGGCCAAUUGUGUGCUGCCCUAUGGGACUCCCAAUCACAUCCGGAUAUGAUGCAGCUUUGAUUCCUUGGUACAUUAGAACUCGAACCCUGACACGAGCCUGACCUUUGACCCCAGCCCCUCCUUCUCCAGUGCCAGGGGUCAGUACAGACCUGUACUGUGGUUGCAGUCCUGUAGAUCAGUGCUGCUGUCUGUCUCCUGGCUGCCCUGAUGGUGGCCUACAGGAGGUAUCACUCCUCCAGAGUCAGGGUGCAUGCUGACCAAAGUGAAUCAAGUGACUGCUGAUGGAAACUGGGACCCUAUUAUGGCCCUGAGAGUUUAUAGCCAGAGCUUCAUUUUAUAUUCAGUUGUUUGAAUAAACAAAAUAUACAUUGUU